Molecule: ribosomal RNA, 623 nt
Filed under: uncultured Glomeromycotina
Lineage: Eukaryota; Fungi; Glomeromycota
Description: eukaryotic LSU rRNA
Rfam family: Eukaryotic large subunit ribosomal RNA
Source: RNAcentral
UGGGAGGUAAAUUUCUCCUAAGGCUAAAUACAGGCGAGAGACCGAUAGCGAACAAGUACCGUGAGGGAAAGAUGAAAAGAACUUUGAAAAGAGAGUUAAACAGUACGUGAAAUUGUUGAAAGGGAAACGAUUGAAGCCAGUCGUACCGACGGGAAAUCAACUUCUGGAGCGCUUGUCGUGGGUAACUUUGAGCUUCGCGGCCUUUGUUACUUUGCGUUAUGGUGCUUUUGGUGUGUACUUUUCCGUAUGGUAGGUCAAUAUCGAUUUUGAUCGUCAUAAAAUGAUCGGAGGAAUGUGGCUUCGAUCUCGUAUCGGAGUGUUAUAGCCUUUGGUAGAUGUGACGAUUGGGAUCGAGGAUUGCAACGAAUACCCUUUGGGCUAUCCGUCUGACCUCUGAAAGUCGCUCGAGUGUCGAAAGCUUUGCUUAUGGCAUUUUAGUUGGCGGUCAAAAGGUUAGAACGCGAUUACAUACGUUAAGGAUGUUGACGUAAUGGCUUUAAACGACCCGUCUUGAAACACGGACCAAGGAGUCUAACAUAUAUGCGAGUGUUCGGGUGAUCAAACCCUUACGCGUAAUGAAAGUAAUUCAGGUGGGAUCGCGCUCGUCGCGUGCACCAUCGACC